UGAGUAACCUGCCCUUCACUCUGGGAUAACUCCGGGGAAACCGGGGCUAAUACUGGAUAUGACUCGAACAGGCAUCUGUUUCGGGUGGAAAGAUUUAUUGGUGGAGGAUGGACUCGCGGCCUAUCAGCUAGUUGGUGAGGUAACGGCUCACCAAGGCGAUGACGGGUANCUGGUCUGAGAGGAUGGCCAGCCACAUUGGGACUGAGACACGGCCCAGACCUCCGUACGGGAGCA
Molecule: ribosomal RNA, 234 nt
Filed under: uncultured bacterium
Lineage: Bacteria
Description: partial 16S ribosomal RNA
Rfam family: Bacterial small subunit ribosomal RNA
Source: RNAcentral